Molecule: long non-coding RNA, 3324 nt
Organism: Exaiptasia diaphana
Lineage: Eukaryota; Metazoa; Cnidaria; Anthozoa; Actiniaria; Aiptasiidae
Exons: 4
Source: RefSeq, a predicted model, not a curated record
UCUGUCACUCACUAAGUCACUCACUCACUCACUCACUUUCCUGUAAACUGCGUUGUUGCCUUAGUAACUGCUAUCUUGACUUAUUCAUUUUUAAUUAUUCAUCUUCACGGUCUACCUGUUUCUUUCCUUUUUUUUUUUCGAAGAGAAAGAAAUUCAUGUCCUCGAAGAGGCUCGAACUCCGGACCUCUCGCGCCAACGGCAAAGACACUGCCACUAGACCAUGUGCCAUUAGACAUUACGUCAUGAGUAUUUUACUAGCUUUUAUCCGACACCCGAUCAAUCAAUGGGUUUCCUGUGUCAUAAUCGAUAAAACUGCUAAGGAGCGAAAUGUCGAGAUUCUUUUGCGUAAAAUGUACAAAAUUAAAUAAGUUUUUGAAACGGUUUCCGCUUCGAGUGUGUCAGCCAGUCACUAGAUCCAUACUUAUUCUUGGCGAACCAUUAUGAGGAAACUAAACACGUGUCUCGGGCAGACACAAUCAACAUUUUGACGCUUUAUAGAUUGUCAUACUGGCAGUGAUGAAUCAUUGCGAUCUUUGGCAAUAUCGAUUGGCAAUACCUUGAACAUUGAUAUUGUAGUUUAUUUACCACGGAUGUGAAUGAUUAAUUUUUGUUUACUUAUUUCUGUACUUCAGAACCUUCUGAGGCAACAAUGUUCAAGAAAAAAAUGACUUCAGCAGGACCCUAUGAGAUGUCUGAGACCUCAGGCCCUUCUGAGACAAAAUCGAAGGAAAAAAUGACAACCGKACCUCAGCUGCAUGAAGACGAACCGAUCCCUUAGGAUCUCUUAGGAGUGGGAGUGCUUGACGGAAAAAGAAACCUAAACAGUCAAAUCAAAGUUAAUUACAGUAUUGAAACAAUAGAAUAGUUGAAUCGAGAGCAAUAUGCUGUGAUAGUUGCAGGCGGAAACUGGAUGUUUCGAAAAAAAAUCAUUGUCGCCCCAGACGUGUAGUUCGAGGACGACUAUAAAGAUUUGAGGAAUAUCCAGUUUCCAAGGGCAACUACCACAUUAAUGCUCAAGUUGCAAUCUGCUCUAUCGUUUUUAUUAUUUUCUAAAGCAGCACUGAUAGAAACCCUCAACCAAUGAGAGCAGAGAGGAAAAUUUGUUGUUGAAUUAUACAUAGAUACUCUCAUUCUCUCCAUGCGACUGCUUCGUUGGUUUCACGCAUCAAAUAUUCUGAAAUUAAAACAGUUCAUUGAUACUAAAAAUAUGUAAGGCAUUCCAAUAACCUUUUUUACUGCGACCGUGGUAUUUGUGGGUUUCGAUUGUACAUCGUUUUAAGUAAGAGUUAAUAUUGUUAUCAAACAUUCUUAACAGUCAUUCUGGAAACGAUGUCGAGCAGUGACGAUUUGUUUAUAGCUCAAAAUACGUUUGACAUCAUACCUUUGCCGAACUUUGAUAUUUACGAUUUGCUAUCGGAUUUGGAACUCCGCAUGCCUCUGCACUCGAAUAACGAUGACAAAGUCUGCAGAUGGGAAAAAUGAGAAAAAUUACCAUUGUUUUUGAUGUUGAACUCGCUCGAAAAAAAUGCGAGGGAAGGAUUCAAGAAGAAACAAACUAAAGUAACAAAUGGCCGUGUGUACGUGCUUGGAUAGAAUGCCCGGGGAGCGGAGAAAUACGAGUCACACCGAUUACGUCUGAUUCAUACACGUUGGUCAAUUCCGAAGAAUAGAUUCUUUUAAAAGUAACGAAGAUCUUGGUUAUUGUUGUCUCUACUCUCUGAUGAACUUAUCAAGAAAAGCUGCGGGACUCGAACGUAUUACACUCUAAAUCUCCUCAAGUUUUGCUGGCCACACUGAUCUUUUUUAUGGGAAAAAUAGUUUUUAUGGGAAAAAUAGUUUAGUUUACUUGUUUAUUUGAUAUUCAGAAGGGAAAUGAUGGGGUUGAUGAAUUGAACUGAAUAACUCUUUAUAAACUCAAUGGGCUAUAUAUGAGUGAUCCCUCCCCGGCUUUAAGUUUCCACAUAUAUACAACCCUAUGAAUAACAAAGAAAACCUAGUGAAUUGGAAACUAAUUCAACAACAAACCCUCCGCUCUCAUUGGUGGAGAGGUUACAGUUUAAAUCCGGGCAUUAUGCCGUGAUAGUUGCCCUUGGAAACUGGAUGUUCCUCAAAACUUCAUAAAGUCGUCCUCCAACUACACUUCUUGGGCGACUAUUUGUUUUUCAAAAAAUCCAGUUUCUUCGAUCAGCUAACACUGCAUAAUGCACCUGAUUCAACUACUCUUUGAAUAGAGAAUGAGCUAUUGGCAGAAGUUAAGCUGUCUCCAGCACUUCUUCAUCUCCUUUAGCCUUAAUUCACAAUUUGUACUAUUUUUUUUAUAGCUGAAAUAGUAUUUUAUAGUAUGACCGUUUAGUCACACUGUGGCUUGGUGUCCAAACUAGAUUUUCACAGAGCAUGUGAAAAUGAUGUUUUGUGCGCUAGAAGCCUCUGACAAGGCAUGAAUCAGCCUCUUCAAUAUUAUUUUUAUGAAUGUACAACAAUGUGAGUAAAACACAAUUUCGUAGUAAUGUUAGAAUUCAUACCUGUACCGAGGUAUCAAGAAACAAUUGUAGUAUCAUCAACAAAUCUUCACCUUAUGAUAUUUCUUUAUUUUCUUUAUUUCUUAACGAUUAAAAUAUUUCACACAAAAAAAGAUUAAAGACACGAUACAUAUAAUACAUAUAAUACAACAUUGAGUACUCAAGAAUGUUGUGAUAUUCGUUGGUCACGUACAAAUCGCCGCUUUAGGGAGUUUUAUUAGUAAGUACUGCAUGCUUUAGAGGCCUGACGUCUAGCUCCAUAUAGUAGUGGAGAACAUAUGAAUGGAAAGUACUUUUUUAGAAUCGCCGUGUAAACCAGUAACAAAACAUUUUUAUGUUGGAAUGCAUUAUGCAGCAUCACAGUAUUCAGUACUUUUUCAAAUACCUUCAUGUUCUAUAAAGAGGUAAAUCUUAUAUCCUAUAGGUUAAUUAGGUACACUAGUUUGUAUAUAGCUAGAACAUCCAUCAGUUAAUUAUUCAAACGGUUAGAUUUUUGCUCGUUCUACGGGCAACAAAAGCAAGUGGCGAAGAGUGGUAAAAUCGAACUUCUACUAGGACCAGCGUAGCUGGACACAUGAUUCAAAACAAGAAAUGAUUAGAGAGAUGUCCAGGUCAUUUAGUUGCAUAUUUUUUUAUAAUUGUUUUGCGUAAUUAACUCCCUGACUACUCAGGUUCUACUACUAACUUUCAUAGUUUCGUUUUGGUAGUGUUAACACUGGAAAGACUCGCGCGCGUAAUUUUAGGAGAAUUUGUCAUUUGAACAGACUUUAUUUGUAAUAAAAACAACAACUUUUGUGUGUAAAAA